This is a long non-coding RNA of Cyprinus carpio carpio, 1485 nucleotides long. The record is from Ensembl. NCBI's taxonomy places the organism in Eukaryota, Metazoa, Chordata, Actinopteri, Cypriniformes, Cyprinidae.
AAGAUUGUUGAGGCUUUAUUUUUGCUCAUACACCAGAAAUAAUAUUUUUUCAUGGAAUCAAGAAGCAUAUUUCUUAUCUCUUAAUUUCUUCCUCUCAGCAACAACAUCCCCAAAUGAUGCUGAUGUUGCCGCUGUUGCCAGCCGAAUUGAGGAGCUGGUGGCAAGUGUUAAGAGGAGGUCCCAGCGUCUUUACAAGGAUAGUGACGGAUGCAAAGGACGUGCCCGAAUCCGCCGAAAGAUCAGGGAGGAAAAAUCUUAAAUUCUGUAGUGGAAAAAGUACAACACCUUGGUUCCUAAUGCAGAAAAAAACUGUCAUUGGACACCAUUCUAUCUGACGAGAUUGUUUGGCCAUGGCAGCUUACACACGGUGACUCUGUUGAUCUAAGGACAAAGAGGAAGGCGUUCGACAUUGUGAUGGCAGUAAGGAGACUUGAGGAGGAGAAGAGGAUUCUUAUUGCAGAGAUGAACAAGCAUUGGAAGUCUCUUUGCUCCCGUGCAGACACCCUGAAGCAGAUGUCAUCCAAGCUUUCUAAUGUGACAUCAGGUGAGACUUGGGGCCUGCUUCAAGAUGGUAUCCGAGGUCUACAAAGCUUGACGAUGAAGAACAAGCGAGCAAGCAACAGCCUGGCAAAGCAUGCAAAAGAAAUAUUAUGUUCAAGUUCUGACUGAAACAGAAAUUAACUUUGAUAGUGAUUCUGAGGAAUACCAUACCAGUAGUGACUCUGAGCAAGAUUAAACAUGGCCAGAGUCCUUUUUUUAUGCUGUUGUGUGCUGGGGAGGCAGCAUUAAAGAAGAGGGCCGCUGGGACAGGUUGUUAAGGAAAGCUGGCUCUGUGUUUGGCAUGGAGCUGGAGUUAAUUAUUUAACAAACUGAGGAUAAUUUGCAGUAGCAGUCUUCUGUCAUGCUCAACAUUGAGGAGGUCCUUUGUCCCCAGGGCAUACCAGCAACUCAAUGUCACAGAAAAGGUUAGGGGAGAAAUUGACUUUUUCAGCAUGAGUCUCACCCUGCGCCAACCAUUACAUCGCUUUGUCUAUUGUCUAGUAUCCACUAUCCAUUUGACUGUCUUACAGGCUACAUUAGCCCCUCUACACAUUCUGAACUGUGGUUUCAACAUUUACCCCUGUUGGCUUGUAUAAUCUUUUUUCUUUUUUUAUAUAUAUUUAAGUUUCUGUUUUUUUCUAUCUAUUUUUAACUUCUUUGUAUUGUUUUUUUGUUAAGCAAUACUAUUAUGCUCAGACUCUUUUUUUCCAUAGUCAUAUUAAACAUGCACAGCUUUGCACUGAUUAAAUCCCUGCACUGUUUACUUUUUGCACUACCACCACUGCAAAUCACUCUAUAGUUGCCCAUCAUGUAUCACAGGGUCAGUCCCUACCAGGCCUUUGUAAUCACUUGACAUGCUCUUCACUUUUUUUACAUUUGUGAUUUUUUUGUUAUGUGUCUGAGUUGUGUGUUGUUUUUUUGUGGUUGUAUAAGCUAAUAAAUGCC